This 156-nucleotide ribosomal RNA is filed under the name uncultured bacterium. RNAcentral describes it as "partial 16S ribosomal RNA". It matches the Rfam family "Bacterial small subunit ribosomal RNA", at positions 335 to 494 of the family's 1533-position model. The record is from RNAcentral.
ACUCCUACGGGAGGCAGCAGUAGGGAUUCUUCCGCAAUGGACGAAAGUCUGACGGAGCAACGCCGCGUGAGCGAAGAAGGCCUUCGGGUAUAAAGCUCGUGUUAGGGAAGAACAAGUAGCGCAGUAACUGGCGUACUAGACCUCCUCCGGAGCCCU